This is a long non-coding RNA of Notothenia coriiceps (black rockcod), 113 nucleotides long. RefSeq lists it as uncharacterized. The record is from RefSeq and is a predicted model, not a curated record. Lineage: Eukaryota; Metazoa; Chordata; Actinopteri; Perciformes; Nototheniidae. The transcript is spliced from 3 exons.
UGUGUGUGUGUGUGUGUGUGUGUGUGUGUUGCAGAGGAGAUGCACGCAGAGAUCUGCUACGCUGAGUGUCUUCUGCAGAAAGCCACGCUGACCGUUGUUCUGGAUGGAAACAU